UUCAUCCUCCACCAUCUCAAGGUUACUCACCGCCAAAGGAAGAACACCCACCACCUAUUGCUAAGUCUCCACCAAUAGUUGUUCAUCCUCCGCCAUCUCAAGGCUACUCACCACCAAAACAAGAGCACCCACCACCUAUUGCUAAGUCUCCACCAAUAGUUGUUCAUCCUCCACCAAAGCAAGAGCACCCACCACCAAAACAAGGGCAUCCACCACCUUCUCAAGGCUACUCUCCACCAAAACAAGGACACCCACCACCUUCUCAACCACACCCACCACCAAAACAAGGGCAUCCACCACCAUCUCAAGGCUACUCACCACCAAAGCAAGGACACCCACCACCAUGUCAAGGGCAUCCACCACCAAAGCAAGAGCAUCCACGUCCACCACCAAAACAAGAGCAUCCACAUCCACCACCAUCUCAAGAGCAUCCACCACCAAAGCAAGAACAUCCACAUCCACCACCAAAACAAGAGCAUCCACAUCCACCACCAUCUCAAGGCUACUCACCACCAAAGCAAGGACAUCCACCACCAAAACAAGAGCAUCCACAUCCACCACCUUCUCAAGGGCAUCCACCACCAAAGCAAGAGUAUCCACCGCCAUCUAAAAGUUACCCACCACCAACGCAAGGGCAUCCACCACCUUCUCAAGGCUCUCCACCAAAACAAGGAUAUCCACCGCCAUCUCAAGGGUACACACCACCAAAGCAAGGGCACCCUCCACCUUCUCAAGAGUACUCCCCACCAAAACAAGGAUACCCACCGCCAUCUCAAGGAUAUGCACCACCAAAACAAG
Molecule: long non-coding RNA, 798 nt
Filed under: Aquilegia coerulea
Lineage: Eukaryota; Viridiplantae; Streptophyta; Magnoliopsida; Ranunculales; Ranunculaceae
Description: long non-coding RNA (ACOE_LNC000847)
Source: RNAcentral